Misgurnus anguillicaudatus (oriental weatherfish) is the source of this 3448-nucleotide non-coding RNA. The record is from RefSeq and is a predicted model, not a curated record. NCBI's taxonomy places the organism in Eukaryota, Metazoa, Chordata, Actinopteri, Cypriniformes, Cobitidae.
AGUGUUGAGGUGGUUCUCAGUAGAAAAUAAAAAGGUAGGCUACGCUUGAAACCCUUAAAUGUAACUGGUUUAGUUACUUACAUCGUGUGUUGCACUUUCGCCACCGCUAACAAUCUGAAACAUCGCGCAUACGUGUGCUCGCUCUGUAGUUUGUAGCUCGCGCUCCGGAUACUGUAAACAACUCCACCUUCUUUGAUUUGAUUGGCUAUCGCAUCAUUUUGAUUUUGACAAGCACUUUAGACUGCUGAUUGAGACAGACAGAUAGAGAUAGGCGUUGCACAGUAUUUAAAGUUAUAUAUUAGGCAAUUAUUCCAAUAGUGAUUGUUAUUACACACCACUGGAUCUUAGUGGUGGGCACGAGCCUGCGUGAGAAAAUGGAUUUGGUCGUAAGAGCGUGAGAAAUAGGGCCAAUUGCGCGUGCCCUGCCAUGUAGGAGUAUUUUUGUAAGGCCUGCGACUGAGGGUCAUAUUUCAAUAUAAAGGCUACCUCAAAAAUGAAUUCCAUAUGGAACUUAGUGGAAGACCAUCUCCUAGAAAUGUGCAGAUGAAUGUAAGAUGUCAAAAAGGCACCACAGUCAUUGUUUGUGAAAAUUACUGCUUUGCAUUAAAUGAUAUUUCAUGGUAAUGUAAUAUAGAUUUUUUACCUUUUGAAAGUAACAAAUAUAAUAUGAUUACAGUAUGUAAUAAAAUAAUUAUAGUUAUAAGCAUUUGUCACUGUGUCUGUUAUGUUUUACCUGUUAUCAGUGCGUAAACAAAUGGUCACUAAUACUCUAUUCAAAAGAGGUAAGAAAUUGUUUUGUUCAAACACAGCAUAAUUACAAAGUAUGGUUUGCUGGGUUUUAAUUGUUUUCUUAUUAACACAAAAAACAACAUGACUACCCUUUCUGCUUCCUCCACCAGCCUUAGAGCAGCUGUUCAUGUAUAACUCUGUGGUAGAGCAUUGCGUUUGCAAUGCAAAAGGUCAUCGUGGGUUUGAACCCAGGGAACACAAAUACUGAUACAAAUAAUAAGCAGCUUGUAAUGGACUUUAAGUUCCUUAAAAGCGUCUCCAAAUGCAUAAAUAUUAUAUAUACACAUGAUGUAACCCCAGGGUGACCACCGUGAAACAUGUAUGCAUUAGGUGGACGGCUUUAUCCAAAGCAUAUACUUUUUAUUAGUAUGUGUGCUUCUUGGUUAUUUAGCCCAUAACCUCUUAUUUCAGCCUUGUUUGUUUUAUUUUUUAUGUAUAAACACUGUAAAACCUAACAGUGUAAGUCACUAAACGAAAUUAGUUUUUUAAACUUAUUAUUUUUUAAAGUUAAUUUCACUUAAUAAAAACUGUGAUAUGAACUUAAAAACUGCAAAUGAUUAACCAUAACUUUAACCAAAUAUUUAAGCAACAGCAGGACACAGAUAUGAAGAGCUAACAGGUAAGCACUGCAAACUCUUUCAACCUUUUUAAAGCAUCUUUAAUCUUUAAAAACAUGUUGUUUGUCGUGACUCUACAUUUUAAUACUCACUCGGUUACAGUAAUUUGUGUAAUGUUGGACAUAUAAUGAAACAACGUGACAUUGACACAGCUAUUUGACCUCAGACUCAUUUUUAUCAGCAGAUUAGUGUGCUUUGAGUACACCACAGUUCUGUAAGUGAGAAAUUAAGUCAUAUUUAUGUGUGUUUCUUUCUCAGUAAGGACUAACUUUAACUGACUGUCUGUCUGUCUGUUAUCAACCAAACGGUCAUUCAAGACCUUUUAAAGGUUAGCACGAAUGCAUCCAGCAUAAUUUUGGAUCUUUACCAUUGAGGAGACUGGCUGACUGUUCUCAACCAACCAUCAUUCACACGCUAAACUUUAAAGGAAGAAGAUAGAUCCAUUGCUGCCCAAGCUAAGCUUUUUUGACACAAGUGUGACAUCCCGAAAAAAAAAAACCCAUUAAUGACCGGUGGGUGAAGGACCUCCUCCUGAGGUAUGUGCAGCUGUUCGGUCUCCUGCUACCUCGAGGUCAACGUGGACAGGGCAAUUCAUGGGCAGGGCCGCCUCAGGUCGUUCACUUUCCUCGAGAUGCGGCAGCCUGCACAAGCUGGGACCGGCCAAGAGAGGAAAUGGUGCAGGAGGUGUACACCUCUACAAAGCAGUGGCUGGUGAUGAAGGAGGAGGAGGACAUCACCACCAAGUCCCUGAAGUGCUUCAGGCGCUACAUUCUCGAUAGAGAGAAGCCUCCACCAGAUGCCACUCUUCCUGCCGCGACUUCCAGCUCUUCAAGAAGAGAACCAGGAUCAGUCAGAGCUUUAUUUGCAAGUCCACGUGCUCAUCUCCACUGAAGCCUUUGCAGAGAAAUGAAACAGUGACUGCAUGUUUGAUCCGGUGGUGAUGAAAAUGAAUAGAAAGUAUGACUUCAACAUGUUUUUGGUGGUAUGGUACAGUGCUUUAUAUAGAUUAAUGGUACAGUCUUCUUUAGCUUAAAGGUAAAUAUAACAGUGAAUGAAGAUAAUUCUUAAACUGUGUUUAGAUGUAGUUCAAUAAAGUUCAGAGUAUCAGUGAAGCAAGUUUGAGAGAUUUCUACAUAAAAUCUGUAAUGUAAAAAUAUAAUCUUGAAGGUUACAUUUUUUUAAUAAGGUCUAUCUCUAUUUACAGUUGUAUUAUGCCACAUUUAACCUCCUAAGACCUGGAUGUCACAUAUGUGGAUACUUAUAUGUAUAUGUAAUACUUAAUUCUGUGUAACUGGAACCUAUUAUACACAAACAUGGACAAAUACACUGCUUCAUGUUCAUAGAAAAAUAUUUGGUUAUUAUAUUAAUUGGUUCCCAAAAAUAGCUGGUAGAAAUCUGAAAAAAAAAGACAAACCAAAGCUCGGUCUUAGGAGGUUAAUUUAGGCUUCAUGUUAUCUGACCAAAGAUAGGAGAUUGUUGCAUAAAUUGGUUUGGGGCAGAAAAUAUAAUUUUAGUAUUGGAAACAUUUUUAAGAUCUUUUCCUCUCAUCUCAUACAGUAUUUUGUCCACCACAAUGACCCUUUAGUCUCUGUGGUGGUUCUUCAUCAGUCAAAUGUCCUUUAAUGUGUUUGGGAAUUAAUAUUACGUAGUGUUUAGUGAAUUUAACCCUGCUGUAAACCCAGCAAUAUGUAACUCUGUUGAUGCUUUAACUGCUGUAAGGGAUGAGGGAUUAUUAUCUAACUUAAUGUCUGUUUUUGACUGACUGCCAGUGUUUAACUUUUUGAUAUGCCUGAAGGAUUUUGAGCAAUGAAAAAACCUUUCGUGUGUAUCAUGCAUUAAAAUAUAUGACCUUUGAUGCUUUUUAAUGAUUUAAAUAAAAUCUCCAUACAAUCUGAGCAUGUCUGUGUUUUACUCUCGACUAAUACUCUUUUUCUUUUAACAUUACUGGUAAUUAACAUAGCGCCAUCUAGUGGUUGUAAAUGAAUAACACAAUAGGUCUAAAUAUAUGAAUACAAAAUUAAGAAAAAGAAGAAAACAUCUCU